GGCCGGUUAGCUUAGCUGGUUAGAGCGUGGUGCUAAUAACGCCAAGGUUGCGGGUUCGAUCCCCGUACUGGCCA
RNAcentral lists this transfer RNA (74 nucleotides) under Danio rerio (zebrafish). Its description in RNAcentral is "tRNA-Ile (AAT) (tRNA-Ile-AAT-35-1)". It matches the Rfam family "tRNA". From Rfam's summary of the family: Transfer RNA (tRNA) molecules are approximately 80 nucleotides in length. Their secondary structure includes four short double-helical elements and three loops (D, anti-codon, and T loops). The record is from Rfam by way of RNAcentral. Lineage: Eukaryota; Metazoa; Chordata; Actinopteri; Cypriniformes; Danionidae.